UACGUAGGGGGCAAGCGUUAUCCGGAUUUACUGGGUGUAAAGGGAGCGUAGACGGCUUUGCAAGCCAGAUGUGAAAGCCCGGGGCUCAACCUCGGGACUGCAUUUGGAACUGUAUGGCUGGAGUGUCGGAGAGGCAGGCGGAAUUCCUAGUGUAGCGGUGAAAUGCGUAGAUAUUAGGAGGAACACCAGUGGCGAAGGCGGCCUGCCGGACGAUGACUGACGUUGAGGCUCGAAAGCGUGGGGAGCAAACAGG
RNAcentral lists this ribosomal RNA (253 nucleotides) under uncultured bacterium. RNAcentral's name for it is "partial 16S ribosomal RNA". It matches the Rfam family "Bacterial small subunit ribosomal RNA", at positions 524 to 776 of the family's 1533-position model. The record is from RNAcentral.